UAAAGAAAAUAUUUGGUUCUGGUAUAAUGUUAGCUACAGAGUUUUUUACAUUACACAAUGUAGGAUAAUUUCGUGAUGUGUGAAAGUCUGAUUUACGUGAUAAGCCGAAACUUAAAGUAUCCUAAAAGGAGAAAUUGGCAGCAGGAGCAUAAGUUUUUAAUGAUGACGCGAAGGAAAUCGCAACUCAAGUGGGUAGAUCUGGAAAUCAAUGAGUUCUAGCUUGAAACGAAUAAAAAACUAACUAAAUUGAAGCGAAAGAGGGUGCCAGCAGCUGCGGUCACUCCCUCUCUCGAGGAGCUAAUAAGGGUGCAGCUUAGAGGCAGUUAGUCAAAAUGCAUAACGCAAGACAUACAGCAGGGACUAUGGGUGAAAUCUCAGUCCUGCGGGAGGUCCAAAACUUGCGUAAAGAUGAGUCUGCGAAGUUAUGGGUAUAGACCCGGAUUUGGUACCCGGUUAUUCCAUAAUGUCAAGUAUAGCUAUUUUAUUUGAAUUAAUAGUUUGCUAGGGGUACUACGAGCAACUGCUUAAAACUCGAAGAACUUGGCGGUUCCGCAUAACCAUCCAGAGGCUCUUGGCGCUUAAUCUGAUGAUCCGCGUGAUAUCUUACCUGCCCUAUAGAAAGCAGUGUACUGCCGUCGAAAGCUUAUGAUGUGAGUAAAUGAAAAUAGGCCCAAUCUUGGGAUUUUAAGUAAUUAAUAAUCAUACCGAGGCUAGGUCAGGUCGAAGUGCUCCUUAUGGGCAAGGGGUUAGCUGAGAGACAAAUAUUUAGACAUAUAAAGAUUUUAGAGAUGAAAUUCUCUUAGUGAAUAUAAGGAUUUGGGAGUAAAAAGAGAGUAAUUCGUUUUUUUGAAAAGACGCAACUGCGGUGCGUUCAAAUCGCCCGUCACCCUAGCCGAAAGGAGAGGUAAGUCGUAACAUGGUAAGGGUAGGGGAACUUGCUCUUUUAAU
This 948-nucleotide ribosomal RNA is filed under the name Magallana hongkongensis (Hong Kong oyster). RNAcentral describes it as "small subunit ribosomal RNA". The stretch from base 139 to 947 matches the Rfam family "Microsporidia small subunit ribosomal RNA". The record is from RNAcentral. Lineage: Eukaryota; Metazoa; Mollusca; Bivalvia; Ostreida; Ostreidae.